GUGCUUGCUUCAUCAGCACAAAUAGUAAAAUUGGAACACUACAGAGAUAAGCAUAAAUCCAGUGCAAGGACGAACUGUUCCAGACUUAA
This 89-nucleotide small nuclear RNA is filed under the name Mus pahari (shrew mouse). RNAcentral describes it as "snRNA (MGP_PahariEiJ_G0033724.1)". Lineage: Eukaryota; Metazoa; Chordata; Mammalia; Rodentia; Muridae. The record is from RNAcentral.